This 253-nucleotide ribosomal RNA is filed under the name uncultured bacterium. Its description in RNAcentral is "partial 16S ribosomal RNA". It matches the Rfam family "Bacterial small subunit ribosomal RNA", at positions 524 to 776 of the family's 1533-position model. The record is from RNAcentral.
UACGGAGGAUCCAAGCGUUAUCCGGAAUCAUUGGGUUUAAAGGGUCCGUGGGCGGCCUUAUAAGUCAGUGGUGAAAUCUCCUAGCUCAACUAGGAAACUGCCAUUGAUACUGUAAGGCUUGAAUUUUUGUGAAGUAACUAGAAUAUGUAGUGUAGCGGUGAAAUGCUUAGAUAUUACAUGGAAUACCAAUUGCGAAGGCAGGUUACUAACAAACGAUUGACGCUGAUGGACGAAAGCGUGGGGAGCGAACAGG